Molecule: ribosomal RNA, 484 nt
Filed under: uncultured bacterium
Lineage: Bacteria
Description: partial 16S ribosomal RNA
Rfam family: Bacterial small subunit ribosomal RNA
Source: RNAcentral
AUUGAACGCUGGCGGCAGGCCUAACACAUGCAAGUCGAGCGGAUGAAGGGAGCUUGCUCCUGGAUUCAGCGGCGGACGGGUGAGUAAUGCCUAGGAAUCUGCCUGGUAGUGGGGGAUAACGUCCGGAAACGGGCGCUAAUACCGCAUACGUCCUGAGGGAGAAAGCGGGGGAUCUUCGGACCUCACGCUAUCAGAUGAGCCUAGGUCGGAUUAGCUAGUUGGUGGGGUAAAGGCCUACCAAGGCGACGAUCCGUAACUGGUCUGAGAGGAUGAUCAGUCACACUGGAACUGAGACACGGUCCAGACUCCUACGGGAGGCAGCAGUGGGGAAUAUUGGACAAUGGGCGAAAGCCUGAUCCAGCCAUGCCGCGUGCGUGAAGAAGGUCUUCGGAUUGUAAAGCACUUUAAGUUGGGAGGAAGGGCAGUAAGUUAAUACCUUGCUGUUUUGACGUUACCAACAGAAUAAGCACCGGCUAACUUCGUG